This is a long non-coding RNA of Gavialis gangeticus (Gharial), 637 nucleotides long. RefSeq lists it as uncharacterized. The transcript is spliced from 3 exons. The record is from RefSeq and is a predicted model, not a curated record. NCBI's taxonomy places the organism in Eukaryota, Metazoa, Chordata, Crocodylia, Gavialidae.
UGAAGGGUCACCAAGGGGGCUGGGAUGGGGGAAAGGAAAGUGGUCAUCUUCCUGUGCAGGGCAUUGUGGAAGCACAGCACCAGGUCAGCCCCAUCCCAGGGGACUGCAAAAUACCCCUUCUCCUUGUCCCCACGCACCACCGCCUCAUAAGAACCCAUGGUGGAAGUAAAGCUCAACUUGUAAACUCGACAGCUACAUCUACACCGGGAGAUAUUGGAGCACGAGAAUUAAAAUCUGCAUAACGUUUACAUAGCUCAGUUAUUUUUUGUCGGUUUUGCUUUUUUUUGUAUCCACGGCCAUACAAUCACAAUAUAUAUUUAUAUAUAUACUUCUUAAAUUACACACUCAAUGUACAAAAAAACAGGUGCGUUGCUGAGGCGACCGCGUUGCCUUAACCGUGUCGGGUUGGUUUUUUUGGGUUUUUUUCUUUUUUUUGCCUAACGGAAGAAACAGAGCUGGGGGCUGGGGAGGUCUUGUCUACGGCACCUGAUAUGCAGCACAUUUAUUUAGUCGGGAAGACCACUCGGUCACUGGGGCCAAAUAAGUCAUGAACCAAACAGAGGGAGGAGAAGGAGCUGGAGGGAUGAGGGGUGGAUGAUGAGCUGAGAGCUGCGGUGAUACGGAAAAAAAUAUGAAA